This 428-nucleotide ribosomal RNA is filed under the name uncultured bacterium. RNAcentral describes it as "partial 16S ribosomal RNA". It matches the Rfam family "Bacterial small subunit ribosomal RNA", at positions 354 to 796 of the family's 1533-position model. The record is from RNAcentral.
GUGGGGAAUAUUGGGCAAUGGGCGAAAGCCUGACCCAGCAACGCCGCGUGAGGGAAGAAGGCCUUCGGGUUGUAAACCUCUGUCUUUGGUGACGAAACAAAUGACGGUAGCCAGAGAGGAAGCCCCGGCUAACUACGUGCCAGCAGCCGCGGUAAUACGUAGGGGGCGAGCGUUGUCCGGAAUUACUGGGCGUAAAGGGUGCGUAGGUGGCCUUUUAAGUUGGAUGUGAAAUCCCCGGGCUUAACUUGGGUGGUGCAUCUAAUACUGGAGGGCUAGAGUGCAGGAGAGGGAAGCGGAAUUCCUAGUGUAGCGGUGAAAUGCGUAGAUAUUAGGAGGAACACCAGUGGCGAAGGCGGCUUUCUGGACUGUAACUGACACUGAGGCACGAAAGCGUGGGGAGCAAACAGGAUUAGAUACCCUGGUAGUCC